GUGGGCGGAAGCUCAUUGCAGAGGUCACACGCUGAGUGCUCGUCACUCCACCAAUCACCUCUGGGAAGGUCUGAGACAAGAGCCAAUAGUUACCCUUGCAGGGUAUCAUCUGAUACGGGUGAGCGAGUGUUCAGAAAACAUGGGCCAUCGUGAGAAGUCGUAGCAGGAGAAGCCCGGUGGCGCAUACUAAGAGCACCACCCGGUGGAUGUGACUCUCACCGGCUUGAAAUCACUCGCGGCUAGCGGAAGAGUGCAAUGGAUGAGAUGGGGCACAGCUCCACAACCCAAUUCAGACUACUCUCCCCCCAC
This 309-nucleotide RNase P RNA is filed under the name Lates calcarifer (barramundi perch). RNAcentral's name for it is "Nuclear RNase P (ENSLCAG00010018675.1)". It matches the Rfam family "Nuclear RNase P". From Rfam's summary of the family: Ribonuclease P (RNase P) is a ubiquitous endoribonuclease, found in archaea, bacteria and eukarya as well as chloroplasts and mitochondria. Lineage: Eukaryota; Metazoa; Chordata; Actinopteri; Centropomidae. The record is from Rfam by way of RNAcentral.